RNAcentral lists this ribosomal RNA (837 nucleotides) under uncultured archaeon. Its description in RNAcentral is "bacterial SSU rRNA". It matches the Rfam family "Archaeal small subunit ribosomal RNA", at positions 21 to 859 of the family's 1478-position model. The record is from RNAcentral.
GGUUACUGCUAUCGGUGUUCGCCUAAGCCAUGCGAGUCAUAUGUUCUUCGGAACAUGGCGUACUGCUCAGUAACACGUGGAUAACCUGCCCUUGGGUCCGGCAUAACCCCGGGAAACUGGGGAUAAUUCCGGAUAACGCAUAUAUGCUGGAAUGCUUUCUGCGUAAAAUGGAUUCGUCUGCCCAAGGAUGGGUCUGCGGCCUAUCAGGUAGUAGUGGGUGUAAUGUACCUACUAGCCGACGACGGGUACGGGUUGUGAGAGCAAGAGCCCGGAGAUGGAUUCUGAGACAUGAAUCCAGGCCCUACGGGGCGCAGCAGGCGCGAAAACUUUACAAUGCGGGAAACCGUGAUAAGGGGACACCGAGUGCCAGCAUCAUAUGCUGGCUGUCCGGGUGUGUAAAAUACACCCGUUAGCAAGGGCCGGGCAAGACCGGUGCCAGCCGCCGCGGUAACACCGGCGGCCCGAGUGGUGAUCGUGAUUAUUGGGUCUAAAGGGUCCGUAGCCGGUUUGGUCAGUCCUCCGGGAAAUCUGAUAGCUCAACUAUUAGGCUUUCGGGGGAUACUGCCAGGCUUGGAACCGGGAGAGGUAAGAGGUACUACAGGGGUAGGAGUGAAAUCUUGUAAUCCCUGUGGGACCACCUGUGGCGAAGGCGUCUUACCAGAACGGGUUCGACGGUGAGGGACGAAAGCUGGGGGCACGAACCGGAUUAGAUACCCGGGUAGUCCCAGCCGUAAACGAUGCUCGCUAGGUGUCAGGCAUGGCGCGACCGUGUCUGGUGCCGCAGGGAAGCCGUGAAGCGAGCCACCUGGGAAGUACGGCCGCAAGGCUGAGACUUAA